Drosophila arizonae is the source of this 85-nucleotide long non-coding RNA. NCBI's taxonomy places the organism in Eukaryota, Metazoa, Arthropoda, Insecta, Diptera, Drosophilidae. The record is from RefSeq and is a predicted model, not a curated record.
UACAUACAUACAUAUGUACGUACAUAUAUGUAUAUCAUAUAGGUAAGUUGUUGUGCACGCUUGGCUGUUCUGUUGCCGCCAGUUG